ACAGGAGGAGGAGGAGGAGGAGGAGGGUGUGUGUUAUUGAAUGGGAGCGAAAAAGCCUCCUCGGGACGGCGCGGAGGCUGAACCCGGCUUGCUGAGCCUCCUCUCUCGGCUGGGCCCAGUGCCCCGAGCAGCCGAUGAGAUCGAGACCCCCUCCCCCUGCGGCUAGCAGGAAUGUUGCAAGGCAUGUAGCUGAAGGAUAACUCCUGACAACUGUGGUGGAAUGGAAUGAUUGGUUUCCAAACAGUGGUCCAGAAAACCCAGGAAAUUUGUAUGGGUUUCUCAGUAAGAAGAAUAGUGCUGCCCUGGGUUCCUAUUGGGAAGAAGGAUGGUGAGGCUGUCAAUGUGCUGAACCGGUGCCUGGCUACAACAAUGGACUGGAUGAGGGCUAAUCAACUGAGGCUCAAUCCAGACAAGACUGAGAUGCUGCUAGUGGGUGGUUCUUCUGACCGGAUGGUGGAUGUCCAACCUGUCCUGGAUGGGGUUGCACUCCGCCUGAAGGAGCAGGCCCCAAACCAGGACUGCUUGAGAAAGGAGGACUGUAAGACGGUUUGAUCUCUUGGAGACAUACUUUAGAACAUUUUGGUAGUAGUAACCAUAACAAUGAUCACUGUUUCAUGCUUUUUAAAAGGAAAAUUCACUCCCCCUGCACCCUCCAGACUUAGGGCCUGGUUUUUUGAAAGUAUAAUGAAUGUCUAACCACACAUAUAAUGUAUUUAACAUGCACUAUUAACAUCUGGAAUUUUGGACUGCUGGUAAUAAAAGAAACAUACUUUUUCCGUUUUCUGCUAACAAUAGACCAAAUCCAUCCAAAGUGACGAACUUCUUUAAAAUUUCAGUACAAUAAGGU
This is a long non-coding RNA of Rhineura floridana, 847 nucleotides long. RefSeq lists it as uncharacterized. The transcript has 5 exons. Lineage: Eukaryota; Metazoa; Chordata; Lepidosauria; Squamata; Rhineuridae. The record is from RefSeq and is a predicted model, not a curated record.